This is a long non-coding RNA of Carassius auratus (goldfish), 2211 nucleotides long. RefSeq lists it as uncharacterized. The transcript has 4 exons. The record is from RefSeq and is a predicted model, not a curated record. NCBI's taxonomy places the organism in Eukaryota, Metazoa, Chordata, Actinopteri, Cypriniformes, Cyprinidae.
CUGACUCCUUAGAAGGAAAGUAAAGUGAAAUAGAGAAGCAGAGCAGAACGUGUGCUGUACAUGUUUUUCAGAUAUCUCAUGUACGAAUAUAAAGAAUGGUCACAACACCAAACAAACGGAUGAAGUUGAGGAAUUGUGGAUGAAUCUGCAAGUUCAACAUGGAAUUGAAUAUUUCGCACAUGGAGAUUUUUUUUGUGGGCAACGGAAUUGGCCUAGCCUGCACCCUAAGCCUGACUCCAUAUUGCCGCCAGGUGUAGGCUGACUGCGGUAUGGACAUCGAACUGGUCAACACCAUAGACAGAAGUCCUCCACCGACGUGAGGAGGACUGCAGCACCCGAGGUACGGUCAGUCGCUGCCGCCAGCUCGGUGAGUUCACUGCCCUUCUCUCAGUGUGUGUGUGUGUGUGUGUGAUUUAUACAAGAGCUGACGUGACCUGAUCAUGACAUAUCUGUAUGAUAGCAGUGACAGUGUUGCUCGUUUUUUUUUCAUACGUUUUAUUCUCUAAAACCUCAUCGCGGAUAUGCAAAUGUCUCUUCUGCAGCAGUUUAUAUCAGUGAACAGAAAGACGGGUGCUCGAUUCAUAUUAUGUCUGAUGUGUGUGUGUGUGUGGCCGGUGUGAGGGGUCUGUGUGUGGCACCUUCUUCUCCACGCAUGUCUUGCGCAUGUGUGUUUGCGCCUGAGAUCCGAUGUCUUUGUGUGCAGUCCAUGCUGAUGGGCGUGUGUGUAACUAUGUUGUGUGGCUUUAAAGUAUCCCAUCGCAGUAAAUGUCGAAGGGAUGCCGAAUUAGAGACGGUGGGGGAAAGAAGGAUGGGACAUCAGAAUGGCGAUCGCUCGGUUCUCCGCACCACACCGUGCCCCUCUCCUUCCCUGAGACCCUAACUUGUGACGUUCUGCUUCGAUGUCCACGGGUUGGGUUCUCGGGAGCUGUGAGAGGCACUCAGUCGUCCACCCAUCCAGGAGGAACCAGAGGAGAGGACGGCGAGAGAGAUCGUUGAAGCAGGUUGAGUGGGGAAGGAAGGGCGAACAGGAAGAGAGACACGAGAUGGGGAUGAGUGGGGUGAAGGUGGUGCAGUGUGGGCCUAUGGAUUCAAGAGUUUAAAGGAUGGAAGGUGAAGAAAGAGAGCAUGAGAGAUCUGGGUUUUUAGGUUGGGGUGACGCUGGGCCACCGAGGGUUUGGCCCAAACAAAGUGUAUGUUUAGACUGUGACUCAGGACACUGAAAUGGCUGUGUGUGUGCAUGUCUGUGCCACAGCAUCUGCUACGCCCUCGUUCCGCACCCAUAUUUGUGUGCAUUUUUUAAAAUCCAAAUUCUUCUUUCCUUACAGGAAAUCCUCAUAGGUGGACAUAUACGGUGACUUCGGGUUCAUUUAUGCAUGCAUGCGUGCUUUAUCCGAAAAUUUGAGAGCAGCACAAAGUACUAUUGAGAGCGUUUCAUCGAUAGCUCGGUACGAUUGUGUUUGACCUCAUACAAACCUUCCUCGACAUUAAAAAUAAACGCAUGUGUUUUCCACCAUUGGCUAUAUUUUUCCUGAGUGUGUAUGGGGUGCGACUUGUUGAUCGACAUGGUGAUUUGUUGAUAUAAAUAUAGCGAACGAUGUAUACAGCAACGUAUGUUUCAUUAGUGUGCUGCCUGCAGGAUGUUUAUGGCAUAAAAUAGACAGGUACCUUGUGUGUGGCUGCAGCAGAAGCGCAUUGUGUGUGUAUGCAGCAGCAUAUGUGUUCAUACAGACAUCGUGAGUGAGACAGCCAGCCGUCUCUCUGCUGGUGCUCCAAAUCUCGCUCAUCUCCCUCACUCUUCAGUGGUGCUCAGAGUCAAACAGAGGCUACGCCGUUUCCAAUGGGAGCAUGAGUAAAUCCUGGUCUCAAACAGUCGUGCAGGGUAGAUUUUUAUCUGGAAGGCUGACUCUGGUGGGGAUUAUGAUGUUUGCUUGUUUUGAAUCCACCUUAUAUUUGUGCAUGUUACCCAUGAAGUGAAGAAAAGCAGCAUAAAGCUAUGGUUUCUGUCUUUAUGCUUUCUCUUACUCCGGUAGUAUUUGUCAGUCAGCGUAGAGCGAUGCAUAAUGAUGCGUUUGUUUUUUUUAAAGAUUGGUUGCCCUAUUAAGCUGCUAAAAAGGUCAUUUAAGGGGAGUUGCAAUCAGCAAAAUGAACAACUCAUUCCUUGACAUCAUUAAGUGGCUCAUUAAACUCAAUUUGAACUCUAACUGGAAUACU